Molecule: ribosomal RNA, 789 nt
Filed under: uncultured archaeon
Lineage: Archaea
Description: bacterial SSU rRNA
Rfam family: Archaeal small subunit ribosomal RNA
Source: RNAcentral
ACGGCUCAGUAACACGUGGACAAUCUAACCUACGGAAGGGGAUAACCCCGGGAAACUGGGGAUAAUACCCUAUAGACUAUGGAUGCUGGAAUGCUCUGUAGCCGAAAGGUCCGCCGCCGUAGGAUGGGUCUGCGGCCGAUUAGGUUGUUGUUGGGGUAACGGCCCAACAAGCCUGUAAUCGGUACGGGUUGUGGGAGCAAGAGCCCGGAGAUGGAUUCUGAGACACGAAUCCAGGCCCUACGGGGCGCAGCAGGCGCGAAAACUUUACAAUGCGGGAAACCGUGAUAAGGGAACUCUGAGUGCCCGUUAAAUCGGGCUGUCCAUCAGUUUAAAAAACUGGUGAAGAAAGGGCCGGGCAAGACCGGUGCCAGCCGCCGCGGUAAUACCGGCGGCUCGAGUGGUGGCCACUAUUACUGGGCUUAAAGCGUUCGUAGCUGGUUUGUUAAGUCUCUGGGGAAAUCUUCCGGCUUAACCGGAAGGCGUCUCAGGGAUACUGGCAGACUAGGGACCGGAAGAGGUGAGAGGUACUCCAGGGGUAGGAGUGAAAUCCUGUAAUCCUUGGGGGACCACCUGUGGCGAAGGCGUCUCACCAGGACGGCUCCGACAGUGAGGGACGAAAGCUGGGGGAGCAAACCGGAUUAGAUACCCGGGUAGUCCCAGCCGUAAACGAUGUGCGUUAGGUGUAUCGGUGACCACGAGUCACCGAGGUGCCGAAGAGAAAUCGUGAAACGUACCGCCUGGGAAGUACGGUCGCAAGGCUGAAACUUAAAGGAAUUGGCGGGGGAGCAC